Myotis brandtii (Brandt's bat) is the source of this 75-nucleotide non-coding RNA. The record is from Rfam. NCBI's taxonomy places the organism in Eukaryota, Metazoa, Chordata, Mammalia, Chiroptera, Vespertilionidae.
AGCAGUUCUCAGGUGACGCACCCCGGAAUUGGGCUCCCUCCUCUCUGGUUCUGGGUGUGUCACGGGUGAACCAUG